AUUCACUCUGUCGUCUUGGAGUGACCACAGGUUGUCAUCAUCCAUGGAGCCACAGUACAUAAGUAAAGUUAAUUACAUACAACUUUUGUUACAGAAUUUCAAAAUGCUACAACAUGAAAAAUAUAUGACAAUGAACCUGUGAUGUUGGUUGAUUUUGUGCCUGAUGGCUGGUCACAGAUCUGGAAGCUGGGUGCAUCGAAAAGUGCUUCCCUACAAAAGACCUUGGUCUCUGGUUUGCUAUAUCCUCCAUGUCUAAACUAAGUUAUUACUGAUUACACUAGGUAUGUACUAUCAAACAUGCGCAGCCAAGAUUCAUUGAUGCAUGUGGGGAGCGAAGGCUGGCCUGUGUGUUCCGAUCUAACAGACAAGCUACUGUUACUCAAAUUGCUGAAAAAGUUUAUGCUGGUACUGAUAGAAAGGUGUCAGAAAACACAAUGCAUUGCAGUUUGUUGUGUAUGGGGCUGCAUAGCCGCAGACCAAUCAGGUUGCCCAUGCUGACCUCUGUCUACUGCCAAAAGCGCCUACAAUAGGCACGUGAGCAUCAGAACUGGACCACGGAGCAAUGGAAGAAGGUGCCCUGGUCUGAUGAAUCACGUUUUCUUUUACAUUACAUGGAUGGCCGGGUGCGUGUGCGUCGCUUACCUGGAGAACACAUGGCACCAGGAUGCACUAUGGGAAGGAGGCAAGCCGGCGGAGGCAGUGUGAUGCUUUGGGCAAUGUUCUGCAGGGAAUCCUUGGGUCCUACCAUUCAUGUGGAUGUUACUUUGACACGUACUGCCUACCUGAGCAUUGUUGCAGACCAUGUGCACCCUUUCAUGGCAAUGGUAUUCCCUGAUGGCAUUGGCCUCUUUCAGAAGGAUAAUGUACCCUGCCACAAAACACAAAUGGUUCAGGAAUGAACCACAACAAGUUCAAGGUGUUGACUUGACCUCAAAAUUCCCCUGAUCUCAAUCCAACUGCACAAACAAGUCUGAUCCAUGGAGGCCCCAUCUCACAACUUACAGGACUUAAAGGAUCUGCUGCUAACAUCUUGGUGCCAGAUACCACAGCACACCUUCAGAGGUCUAGUGGAGUCCAUGCCACGACGGGUCAGGGCUGUUUUGGUGGCAAAAGGGGGACCUACACAAUAUUAGGCCAGAUGGAAUUGCCUAGCAGGUGGGAUUCGGCACAUGGGCCUUAGUUUUCCCACCUCUGGUCUAUUGGAUCCACUGUUAAAUUAUUACACAGGUUAGUGUUGAACUAUAUUUGAAUAUUUCAAAGUGUCUGGUCUUUAAAGUGAAUUGUUGAGUUAUUAUCCUUCAGAGUAUGUGAGCGGAGUGGAGGGAGAGCAUUGCGAGAAGUGGAGAGGGAUCAAUUUGACUGGAGCAUUGGGUCAUACGGAGCAUGCCAGAAUGGUGGCACUCGAUAUUGCCCCAGUACCGUUCUGUUUGAAAUAAAGAACACCAUGUCUCAGCCGAUAAAUUCUAUCAGAAUGUCUCCACUGGGUACAGGCAAUACACCUAGGAUUUUGUGUCUAAUUUAUUUUUAUUUUUAACAAGUACAUUUUGAAUUUGAUUUAAAACAGCUUGGUUACAAAAUGUUGUUUACAUGUUUAGUACUUGAUUUUCCUGGCAGCUUAGAGGGUGUUGCAUUUGAUUACAUUUUUCUUUAAAGGCAACACAAAUUCUUUGAAUAAUUAACAAAUAAACUACCCUUACCUAUUAAAUUGUAUACAUGUAAUUUAAAAGGCAUACUCAUACUGUAAACAUCAGUGUUUUUGUAAAUGAAAGGUAUGAAUGGUUGUGUCAUUCAUGAAAUUGAAGUCCUAUGGACUUUAUCAAUUGAGAUCCUAAACAAAUACAUUAUCUUACAUGGUAUUUUAGUCUGAGAACCUUGCAUGGUAGUUUAUUUUUAGAUGGUUUAUCCUGAAAUGGGUGCCUGAAAAUACCUUUGUGAUCGGGUUCGGGCUGAGAAUGAUACCUAAUUCUGUGUCUUCAGCUAACACAGUGUCUUCAGCUGCAGUUUGCUGGCAUCCAUGCUUAUAGCCUUUCCUCUAGAUCACUCAACCCCUUUUAGCAUGUGUAGGAUUUAGGCCUAGCCUCGCUGAACCUGUACUGUAUGUGAUUUGUCUGCGACCUUCCUAUAGUAUUCAUUUAUAAUAAAGUGAAUGACCC
Long non-coding RNA from Esox lucius (northern pike), 2153 nucleotides. The record is from Ensembl. NCBI's taxonomy places the organism in Eukaryota, Metazoa, Chordata, Actinopteri, Esociformes, Esocidae.